This is a ribosomal RNA of Cavia aperea (Brazilian guinea pig), 114 nucleotides long. Lineage: Eukaryota; Metazoa; Chordata; Mammalia; Rodentia; Caviidae. The record is from Ensembl.
GUCUAUGGCCAUACCACCCUGAACGCACCCAGUCUUGUCUGAUCUCGGAAGCUAAGCAGGGUUGGGCCUGGUUAGUACUUGGAUGGGAGACCACCUGGAAUACCGCUAUAGGCU